Molecule: ribosomal RNA, 301 nt
Filed under: uncultured bacterium
Lineage: Bacteria
Description: partial 16S ribosomal RNA
Rfam family: Bacterial small subunit ribosomal RNA
Source: RNAcentral
CAGCAGCCACGGGAAUACGGAGGGUGCAAGCGUUAUCCGGAUUUAUUGGGUUUAAAGGGUCCGUAGGCGGAUCUGUAAGUCAGUGGUGAAAUCUCACAGCUUAACUGUGAAACUGCCAUUGAUACUGCAGGUCUUGAGUAAAUUUGAAGUGGCUGGAAUAAGUAGUGUAGCGGUGAAAUGCAUAGAUAUUACUUAGAACACCAAUUGCGAAGGCAGGUCACUAAGAUUUAACUGACGCUGAUGGACGAAAGCGUGGGGAGCGAACAGGAUUAGAUACCCCUGUAGUCCCUGUCUCUUAUAU